GAAAUUAGGAUUUAGGGUUCUUAAAAUUUAUGGCUCGGUUUAGAUUUUGGGUUGGGAAUUGAUGAAAAACAAGGAUAUAUCGAGAUAGAGGGUGAGAAGACGCUUAGGAUUGUGGUGAUUUGGUCGUGAUUUGACCUCCGCCGCCGCCGAAGGCGAUUUCCGGCACGACGGAGUUUGUUCUCCAAUGAAGUGGAAGGCUUUUGAAUAAGUUGAG
RNAcentral lists this long non-coding RNA (214 nucleotides) under Lathyrus oleraceus (garden pea). Its description in RNAcentral is "Pisum sativum (pea) long non-coding RNA (PSAT_LNC019528)". Lineage: Eukaryota; Viridiplantae; Streptophyta; Magnoliopsida; Fabales; Fabaceae. The record is from RNAcentral.